RNAcentral lists this ribosomal RNA (1018 nucleotides) under uncultured bacterium. Its description in RNAcentral is "bacterial SSU rRNA". It matches the Rfam family "Bacterial small subunit ribosomal RNA", at positions 356 to 1376 of the family's 1533-position model. The record is from RNAcentral.
GGGGAAUAUUGGUCAAUGGACGUAAGUCUGAACCAGCCAAGUCGCGUGAGGGAAGACUGCCCUAUGGGUUGUAAACCUCUUUUAUAAGGGAAGAAUAAGUUCUACGUGUAGAAUGAUGCCUGUACCUUAUGAAUAAGCAUCGGCUAACUCCGUGCCAGCAGCCGCGGUAAUACGGAGGAUGCGAGCGUUAUCCGGAUUUAUUGGGUUUAAAGGGUGCGUAGGCGGUUUAUUAAGUUAGUGGUUAAAUAUUUGAGCUAAACUCAAUUGUGCCAUUAAUACUGGUAAACUGGAGUACAGACGAGGUAGGCGGAAUAAGUUAAGUAGCGGUGAAAUGCAUAGAUAUAACUUAGAACUCCGAUAGCGAAGGCAGCUUACCAGACUGUAACUGACGCUGAUGCACGAGAGCGUGGGUAGCGAACAGGAUUAGAUACCCUGGUAGUCCACGCCGUAAACGAUGCUCACUGGUUCUGUGCGAUAUAUUGUACGGGAUUAAGCGAAAGUAUUAAGUGAGCCACCUGGGGAGUACGUCGGCAACGAUGAAACUCAAAGGAAUUGACGGGGGCCCGCACAAGCGGAGGAACAUGUGGUUUAAUUCGAUGAUACGCGAGGAACCUUACCUGGGUUUAAAUGGGAAAUGUCGUAUUUGGAAACAGAUAUUCUCUUCGGAGCGUUUUUCAAGGUGCUGCAUGGUUGUCGUCAGCUCGUGCCGUGAGGUGUCGGGUUAAGUCCCAUAACGAGCGCAACCCUUACCGUUAGUUGCUAGCAUGUAAUGAUGAGCACUCUAACGGGACUGCCACCGUAAGGUGAGAGGAAGGCGGGGAUGACGUCAAAUCAGCACGGCCCUUACACCCAGGGCUACACACGUGUUACAAUGGCCGGUACAGAGGGCCGCUACCAGGUGACUGGAUGCCAAUCUCAAAAGCCGGUCGUAGUUCGGAUUGGAGUCUGUAACCCGACUCCAUGAAGUUGGAUUCGCUAGUAAUCGCGCAUCAGCCAUGGCGCGGUGAAUACGUUCCCG